CCUACGGGAGGCUGCAGUGGGGAAUAUUGGACAAUGGGCGAAAGCCUGAUCCAGCCAUGCCGCGUGUGUGAAGAAGGCCUUCGGGUUGUAAAGCACUUUCAGUGGGGAAGAAAGCCUUGGGGCUAAUACCCUCGAGGAAGGACAUCACCCACAGAAGAAGCACCGGCUAACUCCGUGCCAGCAGCCGCGGUAAUACGGAGGGGUGCGAGCGUUAAUCGGAAUUACUGGGCGUAAAGCGCGCGUAGGCGGUCUGAUAAGCCGGUUGUGAAAGCCCCGGGCUCAACCUGGGAACGGCAUCCGGAACUGUCAGGCUAGAGUGCAGGAGAGGAAGGUAGAAUUCCCGGUGUAGCGGUGAAAUGCGUAGAGAUCGGGAGGAAUACCAGUGGCGAAGGCGGCCUUCUGGACUGACACUGACGCUGAGGUGCGAAAGCGUGGGUAGCAAACAGGAUUAGAUACCCUAGUAGUC
This 466-nucleotide ribosomal RNA is filed under the name Vreelandella stevensii. RNAcentral describes it as "partial 16S ribosomal RNA". It matches the Rfam family "Bacterial small subunit ribosomal RNA", at positions 338 to 795 of the family's 1533-position model. The record is from RNAcentral. Lineage: Bacteria; Pseudomonadati; Pseudomonadota; Gammaproteobacteria; Oceanospirillales; Halomonadaceae.